GACGAACGCUGGCGGCGUGCUUAACACAUGCAAGUCGAACGGAAAGGCCCUGCUUUUGUGGGGUGCUCGAGUGGCGAACGGGUGAGUAACACGUGAGUAACCUGCCCUUGACUUUGGGAUAACUUCAGGAAACUGGGGCUAAUACCGGAUAGGAGCUCCUGCUGCACGGUGGGGGUUGGAAAGUUUCGGCGGUUGGGGAUGGACUCGCGGCUUAUCAGCUUGUUGGUGGGGUAGUGGCUUACCAAGGCUUUGACGGGUAGCCGGCCUGAGAGGGUGACCGGCCACAUUGGGACUGAGAUACGGCCCAGACUCCUACGGGAGGCAGCAGUGGGGAAUAUUGCACAAUGGGCGGAAGCCUGAUGCAGCAACGCCGCGUGCGGGAUGACGGCCUUCGGGUUGUAAACCGCUUUCGCCUGUGACGAAGCGUGAGUGACGGUAAUGGGUAAAGAAGCACCGGCUAACUACGUGCCAGCAGCCGCGGUGAUACGUAGGGUGCGAGCGUUGUCCGGAUUUAUUGGGCGUAAAGGGCUCGUAGGUGGUUGAUCGCGUCGGAAGUGUAAUCUUGGGGCUUAACCCUGAGCGUGCUUUCGAUACGGGUUGACUUGAGGAAGGUAGGGGAGAAUGGAAUUCCUGGUGGAGCGGUGGAAUGCGCAGAUAUCAGGAGGAACACCAGUGGCGAAGGCGGUUCUCUGGGCCUUUCCUGACGCUGAGGAGCGAAAGCGUGGGGAGCGAACAGGCUUAGAUACCCUGGUAGUCCACGCUGUAAACGGUGGGUACUAGGUGUGGGGUCCAUUCCACGGGUUCCGUGCCGUAGCUAACGCUUUAAGUACCCCGCCUGGGGAGUACGGCCGCAAGGCUAAAACUCAAAGGAAUUGACGGGGCCCCGCACAAGCGGCGGAGCAUGCGGAUUAAUUCGAUGCAACGCGUAGAACCUUACCUGGGUUUGACAUGGAUCGGGAGUGCUCAGAGAUGGGUGUGCCUCUUUUGGGGUCGGUUCACAGGUGGUGCAUGCCUGUCGUCAGCUCGUGUCGUGAGAUGUUGGGUUAAGUCCCGCAACGAGCGCAACCCUUGUUCACUGUUGCCAGCACGUUAUGGUGGGGACUCAGUGGAGACCGCCGGGGUCAACUCGGAGGAAGGUGGGGAUGACGUCAAGUCAUCAUGCCCCUUAUGUCCAGGGCUUCACGCAUGCUACAAUGGCUGGUACAGAGAGUGGCGAGCCUGUGAGGGUGAGCGAAUCUCGGAAAGCCGGUCUCAGUUCGGAUUGGGGUCUGCAACUCGACCUCAUGAAGUCGGAGUCGCUAGCAAUCGCAGAUCAGCAACGCUGCGGUGAAUACGUUCCCGGG
Molecule: ribosomal RNA, 1343 nt
Filed under: uncultured bacterium
Lineage: Bacteria
Description: 16S ribosomal RNA
Rfam family: Bacterial small subunit ribosomal RNA
Source: RNAcentral